This 500-nucleotide ribosomal RNA is filed under the name uncultured Myrionecta. Its description in RNAcentral is "bacterial SSU rRNA". It matches the Rfam family "Eukaryotic small subunit ribosomal RNA", at positions 1211 to 1797 of the family's 1831-position model. The record is from RNAcentral. Lineage: Eukaryota; Ciliophora; Litostomatea; Cyclotrichida; Mesodiniidae.
AAACUUACCAGGUCAAGACAUGGGCGUGAUUGACAGGCUAAUGACUUUUCUCGAUUCCAUGGAUGGUGGUGCAUGGUCGCACUUAGUUGGUGCAGUGAUUUGUCAGGUUUAUUCCGGUAACGAACGGGACCUCGGCCUUGUAAAUAGCUAUGCUGCUUACAGGGACAUUGGCGGCUACGCCAAGGAAGCUCGAGGCAAUUGCAGAUCUGGAAUGCCCUUAGAUGUCCUGGGUCGCACGCGUGCUACAAUGACGCCACGAACGAGCUUGCGUGAUGAAAGUUACGCAUAAUCAGCGGUCGGCGUCUUAAGGGAUAGUCUCUUGUAACUGUGGGACUCCAACUAGGAAUGUCUCGUAAGCACAAGUCAACAUCUUGUGUUGAUUACGUCCCUGCUCUUUGUACACACCGCCCGUCGCUCCUACCGAUCGAGUGUUUAGGUGAAUUUGAUGGACGUAAGGAAGUCAAAUAAACCUGAGCACUAGAGAAGAGAAGUCGAGAUCC